AAAGAAAAUCGUAUUUCUUUCUCUCUCCCCGUGCUCUCACUCACCGCGUCUCUCUCUCUCCCUUCGCUCCCUUUCUCAGCCGGCAACUUCGCCGGUCCUCGCCUCCUCCGGCCGCGAGGCCGGCCCCUCUUCUUCCCUCCUUCUCUCCUUCCCUUUCUCUUCCCUAAAUUCUCAAAUCAGAAAUAGAGCUAGGGCUUCUUCUCACUUUCCCCUCUGAAUUUCACCCCCUCCGGCAAGCCCGUCACCGCCGCUGCCGUCCCCGUCGUGCCGUCGUCCCCUCUGUCUCAGGAAUCGUUGAUUCAAGAUAUCUCCACGUGACAACUCUCCUACAUCGCUGCUCUGUUCAAGACUCUACCUUUCUUCCUUUCUUUUUAUUUAUCUGGUUGCAAUAUCAGCUGUUGAAAAUUAGGAUUUUGAGUGCUGUUAUAAAUUGCGUUUCUAUCUA
Long non-coding RNA from Salvia miltiorrhiza (redroot sage), 445 nucleotides. RefSeq lists it as uncharacterized. The transcript has 2 exons. The record is from RefSeq and is a predicted model, not a curated record. NCBI's taxonomy places the organism in Eukaryota, Viridiplantae, Streptophyta, Magnoliopsida, Lamiales, Lamiaceae.